GUAGGUGAACCUGCGGAAGGAUCAUUAGCAAAGCGGCGAGCGAGGUGCGAUGGCUUUCGCCGUCGCGCCGACAGCCAACAACCGACCGACCAUGUCAAACAGCGGCUGGCAUUGCCGGCCGCAGAACACACACGAUGCAUGAUGAUGUAUGAUGAUGAUGCGGUGGUGCGUGCGUGCGUUGCGUGCGUCGCACCGCAGCAAACAACAACAACACACUUUUAACAAUGGAUCUCUUGGCUCUUGCAUCGAU
This 250-nucleotide unclassified non-coding RNA is filed under the name plant metagenome. Its description in RNAcentral is "partial contains small subunit ribosomal RNA, internal transcribed spacer 1, and 5.8S ribosomal RNA". The record is from RNAcentral.